Molecule: ribosomal RNA, 1415 nt
Filed under: Apilactobacillus kunkeei
Lineage: Bacteria; Bacillati; Bacillota; Bacilli; Lactobacillales; Lactobacillaceae
Description: bacterial SSU rRNA
Rfam family: Bacterial small subunit ribosomal RNA
Source: RNAcentral
AUUUUUGGAUUCGGAGCGAGUGGCGAACUGGUGAGUAACACGUGGGUAACCUGCCCCGAAGCGGGGGAUAACAUUUGGAAACAAGUGCUAAUACCGCAUAAUUAGUUGGAACCGCAUGGUUCCAACUUGAAAGAUGGCUCUGCUAUCACUUCGGGAUGGACCCGCGCCGUAUUAGUUAGUUGGUGAGAUAAAAGCNCACCAAGACGAUGAUACGUAGCCGACCUGAGAGGGUAAUCGGCCACAUUGGGACUGAGACACGGCCCAGACUCCUACGGGAGGCAGCAGUAGGGAAUCUUCCACAAUGGACGAAAGUCUGAUGGAGCAACGCCGCGUGAGUGAUGAAGGUUUUCGGAUCGUAAAACUCUGUUGUUAAAGAAGAACAAGUGUUAGAGUAACUGUUAACACUUUGACGGUAUUUAACCAGAAAGCCACGGCUAACUACGUGCCAGCAGCCGCGGUAAUACGUAGGUGGCAAGCGUUGUCCGGAUUUAUUGGGCGUAAAGCGAGCGCAGGCGGUUUUGUAAGUCUGCUGUGAAAGCCCUCAGCUCAACUGAGGAAGUGCAGUGGAAACUACAAAACUUGAGUACAGAAGAGGAAAGUGGAACUCCAUGUGUAGCGGUGAAAUGCGUAGAUAUAUGGAAGAACACCAGUGGCGAAGGCGGCUUUCUGGUCUGUUACUGACGCUGAGGCUCGAAAGCAUGGGUAGCGAACAGGAUUAGAUACCCUGGUAGUCCAUGCCGUAAACGAUGAAUACUAGGUGUUGGAGGGUUUCCGCCCUUCAGUGCCGCAGCUAACGCAUUAAGUAUUCCGCCUGGGGAGUACGACCGCAAGGUUGAAACUCAAAGGAAUUGACGGGGGCCCGCACAAGUGGUGGAGCAUGUGGUUUAAUUCGAUGCUACGCGAAGAACCUUACCAGCUCUUGACAUCUUCUGCCAACCCAAGAGAUUGGGCGUUCCCUUCGGGGACAGAAUGACAGGUGGUGCAUGGUUGUCGUCAGCUCGUGUCGUGAGAUGUUGGGUUAAGUCCCGCAACGAGCGCAACCCUUAUUAUUAGUUGCCAGCAUUUAGUUGGGCACUCUAGUCUGCCGGUGAUAAACCGGAGGAAGGUGGGGACGACGUCAAAUCAUCAUGCCCCUUAUGAGCUGGGCUACACACGUGCUACAAUGGAUGGUACAACGAGUCGCGAAACCGCGAGGUCAAGCUAAUCUCUUAAAGCCAUUCUCAGUUCGGAUUGCAGGCUGCAACUCGCCUGCAUGAAGUUGGAAUCACUAGUAAUCGUGGAUCAGCAUGCCACGGUGAAUACGUUCCCGGGCCUUGUACACACCGCCCGUCACACCAUGAGAGUUUGUAACACCCAAAGAUCGACUGGGGUAACCUUUUAGGAGCUAGUCGUCUAAGGUGGGACCACGAUGAUUA